Molecule: transfer RNA, 85 nt
Filed under: Felis catus (domestic cat)
Lineage: Eukaryota; Metazoa; Chordata; Mammalia; Carnivora; Felidae
Also listed under: 3 other names
Rfam family: tRNA
About the family: Transfer RNA (tRNA) molecules are approximately 80 nucleotides in length. Their secondary structure includes four short double-helical elements and three loops (D, anti-codon, and T loops).
Source: Rfam by way of RNAcentral
GCCUGGGUGGCUCAGUUGGUUGAGCGUCUGACUGCGGCUCAGGUCAUGAUCUCGUGGCUUGUGGGUUCAAGCCCCGCAUUGGGCU